This 69-nucleotide transfer RNA is filed under the name Piesma cf. maculatum. RNAcentral's name for it is "tRNA-Glu". It matches the Rfam family "tRNA". From Rfam's summary of the family: Transfer RNA (tRNA) molecules are approximately 80 nucleotides in length. Their secondary structure includes four short double-helical elements and three loops (D, anti-codon, and T loops). The record is from RNAcentral. Lineage: Eukaryota; Metazoa; Arthropoda; Insecta; Hemiptera; Piesmatidae.
ACUUAUAUAGUUUAACUUAAAACUAUUCAUUUUCAAUGAAUAAAUAGAAUAUUUAAUUUCUUGUAAGUA